This 253-nucleotide ribosomal RNA is filed under the name uncultured bacterium. RNAcentral's name for it is "partial 16S ribosomal RNA". It matches the Rfam family "Bacterial small subunit ribosomal RNA", at positions 524 to 776 of the family's 1533-position model. The record is from RNAcentral.
UACGUAGGGUGCAAGCGUUAAUCGGAAUUAUUGGGCGUAAAGCGUGCGCAGGCGGUCUUGCAAGACAGAUGUGAAAUCCCCGGGCUCAACCUGGGAACUGCAUUUGUGACUGCAAGGCUGGAGUACGGUAGAGGGGGAUGGAAUUCCGCGUGUAGCAGUGAAAUGCGUAGAUAUGCGGAGGAACACCGAUGGCGAAGGCAAUCCCCUGGACCUGUACUGACGCUCAUGCACGAAAGCGUGGGGAGCAAACAGG